ACUCCUACGGGAGGCAGCAGUGGGAAUAUUGGACAAUGGGGGCACCCUGAUCCAGCGAUGCCGCGUGUGUGAAGAAGGCCUGAGGGUUGUAAAGCACUUUAGUGGGGAGGAAAGUUAACAGGUUAAGAGCUAGUUAAGUUGACGUUACCCACCAUCAAACAAGCACCGCUAACUCCGUGCCAGCAGCCGCGGUAAUACGGGG
Molecule: ribosomal RNA, 202 nt
Filed under: uncultured bacterium
Lineage: Bacteria
Description: partial 16S ribosomal RNA
Rfam family: Bacterial small subunit ribosomal RNA
Source: RNAcentral